RNAcentral lists this ribosomal RNA (497 nucleotides) under uncultured bacterium. RNAcentral describes it as "partial 16S ribosomal RNA". It matches the Rfam family "Bacterial small subunit ribosomal RNA", at positions 28 to 507 of the family's 1533-position model. The record is from RNAcentral.
GAUGAACGCUGGCGGCGUGCCUAAUACAUGCAAGUCGAGCGAACGGACGAGAAGCUUGCUUUUCUGAUGUUAGCGGCGGACGGGUGAGUAACACGUGGAUAACCUACCUAUAAGACUGGGAUAACUUCGGGAAACCGGAGCUAAUACCGGAUAAUAUUUUGAACCGCAUGGUUCAAAAGUGAAAGACGGUCUUGCUGUCACUUAUAGAUGGAUCCGCGCUGCAUUAGCUAGUUGGUAAGGUAACGGCUUACCAAGGCAACGAUGCAUAGCCGACCUGAGAGGGUGAUCGGCCACACUGGAACUGAGACACGGUCCAGACUCCUACGGGAGGCAGCAGUAGGGAAUCUUCCGCAAUGGGCGAAAGCCUGACGGAGCAACGCCGCGUGAGUGAUGAAGGUCUUCGGAUCGUAAAACUCUGUUAUUAGGGAAGAACAUAUGUGUAAGUAACUGUGCACAUCUUGACGGUACCUAAUCAGAAAGCCUCGGCUAACUACGUG